AAAAUUACAUGACUUGGAAUUAUUUUUUUCUUGUGUUCAAACUGUCCACUUCCUCAUCUGUUAUUUAUUUUAAAAGGCUUAUUCUUAGGGCCCGAAACUUAGAUCAGCAGGUAAAGGUACGUGGUGUCAAGCUUGAGGACCUGAGCUUGAUUUCCAGGACCAACAUAGUGGAAGGGGAGAACCAGUUUCCAAAAGUCCUCUGGUGUCCACGUGUACACACACACACACACACACACACACACACACACUGAAAAUCAUGAAAACCUGGAAGAAAAAUAUCCCCAACCCCUCAAAAAACCAAAGCCAACCAACCAAACAAACCAGAUACACAAAAAUAUGGAGUCCAUUUUGUGUGGACAUGGGAUCUUCUCUGGAAUGUGGUUGGAACUUAAUGAAACUCCACGGGAUAAAAUCAAUUUUCUCCUUGUCAGUGGAUAUCAACACCACACUCUUAAACUUUGUAACCAAAACAGUGGCUUUCACUACCUGAGAUUGCAAAGAUAUUUUUUACUCGUUCUUGUUUUAAACUUUUUUCCUGGAGAUUCUUCCUUAUUUUCUCGUAUGAAUUUUUAGUAUCAACUUCUUGCAUUUCAGAUAUCCUGGUAGCAUCGUCUCACUAACCUGGGAAAAUACAGCUAAAAUUCCCAUUCAAAACCCUGGUCCAUAAAGAAAUGCCUGAAGCUAUGCAGGGAUGUGACUACAAACG
This 706-nucleotide long non-coding RNA is filed under the name Rattus norvegicus (Norway rat). Its description in RNAcentral is "long non-coding RNA NONRATT011009". Lineage: Eukaryota; Metazoa; Chordata; Mammalia; Rodentia; Muridae. The record is from RNAcentral.